CUGCGGGUGCUAUAAUGCAGUCGAACGCUUCUUUUUCCACCGGAGCUUGCUCCACCGGAAAAAGAGGAGUGGCGAACGGGUGAGUAACACGUGGGUAACCUGCCCAUCAGAAGGGGAUAACACUUGGAAACAGGUGCUAAUACCGUAUAACAAUCGAAACCGCAUGGUUUUGAUUUGAAAGGCGCUUUCGGGUGUCGCUGAUGGAUGGACCCGCGGUGCAUUAGCUAGUUGGUGAGGUAACGGCUCACCAAGGCCACGAUGCAUAGCCGACCUGAGAGGGUGAUCGGCCACAUUGGGACUGAGACACGGCCCAAACUCCUACGGGAGGCAGCAGUAGGGAAUCUUCGGCAAUGGACGAAAGUCUGACCGAGCAACGCCGCGUGAGUGAAGAAGGUUUUCGGAUCGUAAAACUCUGUUGUUAGAGAAGAACAAGGAUGAGAGUAACUGUUCAUCCCUUGACGGUAUCUAACCAGAAAGCCACGGCUAACUACGUGCCAGCAGCCGCGGUAAUACGUAGGUGGCAAGCGUUGUCCGGAUUUAUUGGGCGUAAAGCGAGCGCAGGCGGUUUCUUAAGUCUGAUGUGAAAGCCCCCGGCUCAAC
Molecule: ribosomal RNA, 600 nt
Filed under: Enterococcus faecium
Lineage: Bacteria; Bacillati; Bacillota; Bacilli; Lactobacillales; Enterococcaceae
Description: bacterial SSU rRNA
Rfam family: Bacterial small subunit ribosomal RNA
Source: RNAcentral